Molecule: ribosomal RNA, 510 nt
Filed under: Pycnonotus xanthorrhous
Lineage: Eukaryota; Metazoa; Chordata; Aves; Passeriformes; Pycnonotidae
Description: partial 16S ribosomal RNA
Rfam family: Bacterial large subunit ribosomal RNA
Source: RNAcentral
GAUGCCUGCCCGGUGACAUGACGUUUAACGGCCGCGGUAUCCUAACCGUGCAAAGGUAGCGCAAUCAAUUGUCCCGUAAAUCGGGACUAGUAUGAAUGGCUAAACGAGGUCUUAACUGUCUCUUACAGGCAAUCAGUGAAAUUGAUCUCCCUGUGCAAAAGCAGGGAUAACUACAUAAGACGAGAAGACCCUGUGGAACUUCAAAAACAGCAACCACCCCAACAUACAUACACACCCACUCCGGGCUCACUUAACCCACGGGCGACUGGUCUGCAUUUUUUCGGUUGGGGCGACCUUGGAGCAAAAUAAAACCUCCAAACACUAGACCAUCCCUCUAGACUGAGAGCAACUCCUCAACGUACUAAUAGUAACCAGACCCAAUAUAAUUGAUCAAUGGACCAAGCUACCCCAGGGAUAACAGCGCAAUCUCCUCCAAGAGUCCAUAUCGACGGGGAGGUUUACGACCUCGAUGUUGGAUCAGGACAUCCUAGUGGUGCAGCAGCUACUAAG